This is a non-coding RNA of Labrenzia sp. VG12, 100 nucleotides long. The record is from Rfam. NCBI's taxonomy places the organism in Bacteria, Pseudomonadati, Pseudomonadota, Alphaproteobacteria, Hyphomicrobiales, Stappiaceae.
UUCACAGCCUCCAAGGUACCGGAUGCCCAGUCGGCCCAGGAAUCCGCACAGACCAUCCUGGCCACGGUUCAAUCCGGUGUGAAUUUCUGCCUUCACUCCG